RNAcentral lists this ribosomal RNA (251 nucleotides) under uncultured bacterium. RNAcentral describes it as "partial 16S ribosomal RNA". It matches the Rfam family "Bacterial small subunit ribosomal RNA", at positions 57 to 305 of the family's 1533-position model. The record is from RNAcentral.
GCAAGUCGAACGAGAAAGCACUUCGGUGUGAGUAAAGUGGCGCACGGGUGAGUAACGCGUAGGUGAUAUGCCUUUUAGUGGGGGACAACAGUUGGAAACGACUGCUAAUACCGCAUAAGCUUAAGGACAUUGGAAAACUUAGGAAAGGGGGCUUCGGCUCUCGCUAGAAGAUUGGCCUGCGUGACAUUAGCUUGAUGGUGGGGUAAUGGCCUACCAUGGCUACGAUGUCUAGCUGGUCUGAGAGGAUGAUC